RNAcentral lists this ribosomal RNA (449 nucleotides) under uncultured bacterium. RNAcentral describes it as "partial 16S ribosomal RNA". It matches the Rfam family "Bacterial small subunit ribosomal RNA", at positions 29 to 523 of the family's 1533-position model. The record is from RNAcentral.
AACGAACGCUGGCGGCAUGCCUAACACAUGCAAGUCGAACGAAGCCUUCGGGCUUAGUGGCGCACGGGUACGUAACGCGUGGGAAUCUGCCCUUGGGUUCGGAAUAACAGUUAGAAAUGACUGCUAAUACCCGAUGAUGUCUUCGGACCAAUGAUUUAUCGCCCAAAGAUGAGCCCGCGUAGGAUUAGGUAGUUGGUGGGGUAAUGGCCCACCAAGCCGACGAUCCUUAGCUGGUCUGAGAGGAUGAUCAGCCACACUGGGACUGAGACACGGCCCAGACUCCUACGGGAGGCAGCAGUGGGGAAUAUUGGACAAUGGGCGAAAGCCUGAUCCAGCAAUGCCGCGUGAGUGAUGAAGGCCUUAGGGUUGUAAAGCUCUUUUACCAGGGAUGAUAAUGACAGUACCUGGAGAAUAAGCUCCGGCUAACUCCGUGCCAGCCGCCGCAGUAA